AAUAAAUUUUUUAUGGUUUGAGAAUUUUAAUAUAAAUUUAUUUUGCAUAUAAAUUUUAGUGUUAAUUUUUAAUUAUUUUAAUAAUAAUUAAUUAAUUGUUGUAGUAAUUAGUAUUAAAAAUUUAAGAAAUUAAGAUUUAGUAAUAUUUAAAUUAAUAACAAAUUUUGUGCCAGCAGUUGCGGUUAAACAAAAAUUAAAUUAAAUUUUAUUAGCAAAUUAAUAAUUAAAAAUAUUUUAAAUUAAAUAUUAAAUUAUUAGGUGAAAUUUUAAUUUAAUAAAAAUUUAUUUUUAUUUUAUGAAUUAAUAAAUUUAAUUAUAAACUAGGAUUAGAUACCCUAUUAUUAUAAAUUUAAAAAUUAAUGCUAAAAUAGUAUAUAAUUAUUUAUUGAAACUUAAAUAAUUUGGCGGUAUUUUAGUUCAUUUAGAGGAAUCUGUUUAAUAAUUGAUAAUCCACGAAUAAAUUUACUUAAUUUAAAAUUUUGUAUAUCGUUGUUAAAAAAAUAUUUUUAAAUAAUAAUAAUAUUUUAAAUUUUUAAAAUAAAAUUAAAUCAGAUCAAGAUGCAGAUUAUAAUUAAGAAUAUAAUGGAUUACAAUAAAUUUAUUUAUUACUAAUAUUAAUUUGUAAGAAUUAAUUAAGGGUGGAUUUAAAUGUAAUUAUAUUUAAUUUAAUAUAAUGAUUAAAAAUUAGAAUAUGUACAUAUUGCCCGUCGCUUUCAUAAAUAAAUUGGAAUAAGUCGUAACAAAGUAGAGGUACUGGAAAGUGUUUCUAGAAAUAA
RNAcentral lists this ribosomal RNA (776 nucleotides) under Herpetogramma luctuosalis. Its description in RNAcentral is "12S ribosomal RNA". The record is from RNAcentral. Lineage: Eukaryota; Metazoa; Arthropoda; Insecta; Lepidoptera; Crambidae.